This 253-nucleotide ribosomal RNA is filed under the name uncultured bacterium. Its description in RNAcentral is "partial 16S ribosomal RNA". It matches the Rfam family "Archaeal small subunit ribosomal RNA", at positions 474 to 727 of the family's 1478-position model. The record is from RNAcentral.
UACCAGCACCCCGAGUGGUCGGGACGUUUAUUGGGCCUAAAGCAUCCGUAGCCGGUUCUACAAGUCUUCCGUUAAAUCCACCUGCUUAACAGAUGGGCUGCGGAAGAUACUAUGGAGCUAGGAGGCGGGAGAGGCAAGCGGUACUCGAUGGGUAGGGGUAAAAUCCGUUGAUCCAUUGAAGACCACCAGUGGCGAAGGCGGCUUGCCAGAACGCGCUCGACGGUGAGGGAUGAAAGCUGGGGGAGCAAACAGG